GUAACUCCAAAUUGGAUUCAAUUCCGAAUAAUGAGAGUCUCAUAUCAUUCAAUCUUAUUUUCCCAAUCAUCAUUAUCUCAUUACUUAGUUUCUACCUGUCAAUUUCCAAGGUAUCUCUCCUUGGAUGAUGCUUCCAUUUUCCUCUUUCUCUUUUAAUUUUAGUGUUGGUUUUAGUGGAAUACCCGACAUCCUCGGAUGUUCCAUUUU
Molecule: long non-coding RNA, 207 nt
Filed under: Gossypium barbadense (sea-island cotton)
Lineage: Eukaryota; Viridiplantae; Streptophyta; Magnoliopsida; Malvales; Malvaceae
Description: long non-coding RNA (GBAR_LNC020863)
Source: RNAcentral